AACGAACGCUAGCGGCGCGUUUAAGCAUGCAAGUCGAACGGGGAUAUUAGGAGCAAUUCUGGUAUCCUAGUGGCAAACGGGUGAGUAACACGUGGAUAAUCUGCCCUCAAGACCUGGAUAGCCCGCAGAAAUGCGGAUUAAUACGGGAUGUGGUGCCUGAUCAUGAGGAUCGGGACAUUAAAGGUGGGGACCGCAAGGCCUGCCGCUUGGGGAGGAGUCCGCGGCCCAUUAGCUAGUUGGUGGGGUAAAGGCCUACCAAGGCGACGAUGGGUAGCCGGCCUGAGAGGGUGACCGGCCACAUUGGGACUGAGACACGGCCCAGACUCCUACGGGAGGCAGCAGCUAAGAAUCUUCCGCAAUGGGCGAAAGCCUGACGGAGCGACGCCGCGUGGACGAUGAAGGUCUUCGGAUUGUAAAGUCAUUUCGGGGAGGAAGAAUAAGCCGGCUCUAACAGAGACGGUGAUGACGACCCUCCCAGAAGAAGCUCCGGCUAACUACGUG
Molecule: ribosomal RNA, 501 nt
Filed under: uncultured bacterium
Lineage: Bacteria
Description: bacterial SSU rRNA
Rfam family: Bacterial small subunit ribosomal RNA
Source: RNAcentral